Long non-coding RNA from Hirundo rustica (Barn swallow), 2031 nucleotides. RefSeq lists it as uncharacterized. The record is from RefSeq and is a predicted model, not a curated record. The transcript is spliced from 6 exons. NCBI's taxonomy places the organism in Eukaryota, Metazoa, Chordata, Aves, Passeriformes, Hirundinidae.
CACACCUCGUGCAGGAGAUUGCCAGCUGGGAAGAGGCAUUUCAGGGACACUUCAGGUUUCCGAGGCUUGGGAAGUAGUGUGUGAAAGCACCUCCUCACUCCUAAGACAGCAAACCAUCUUUACCAUCGUACAGUUUCUUGCACUUGGAGGGAUUUGUCUGGAGGGUUCCUAUUCCAGACAGGUUUCUGGAAAAUUUCUUUACCUCUUAUGAAGAUCCUCUGAUCCCAGCCAUGGGAACUCACCUUGGUGCAGCUGCAGCAGGAGCUGUCAUUUGCAGGGGAGACUGGAUACACAGACUUUGCCAUCAGAACCUGAGGCUUGAAGAGUGUGUCCCUUCCACAGGUCUCCUCUCCACCAACUCACCUCCCUCCCUGUCCUCAAUUGAAGACAGCUGCCAGGAAAUAUUUCUGCUGUUUAGCUGAAGUGAAAACACAUGGAGGUGGUAGGGGGGAAAGAAGGGCAGUGUUUAUAAUGUAAUUACUGUCAUUUUGUGAAACUUGGGUUGAGCUGGGGAGAAGGGUGUGUUGAGCACGGGGAUGCAUCUGUGCACAGGGUGAGAGCCCCAGAGAUGGUGGCUGAAGUGAAGCACUACAGCCCUCAGUGGUCCCCGUGAAGAACAGGCUGCUCCUGGAGCACAGACACCAGUUCAUCCCAGGCUCUGCAGGAACUAAGAUGAAAGCAAAAAACCAGCUAGCAGAAAUUAUCAUCUCUGCAGACUCUAAUGGUACUGAAAAUUAAAAAUCUGCUCCAAACAAAGAAGAAAAAGCCCAACAACAAACAAAAAACCAAACAACUGCUGCAAAGAAACAAAACUUCUUCCUGUGAGUUGCUUUUUGGCCGUGAAGGGCUUCUGCUGUGAGAAAAAAGUUCCUCCAUGAAGAAGGGUGCAGAGCCUGGUUUGCUCAGAGCCAUUUUCCUCAUCAUCUGAACAAAAGGUGAAGACUUGUUGUAGAUGCCUUGCUGGUUUGAACUGAGCUUGUAGAAGCAAGAAUCUCAUCCAUGCCCAGCUCUAUCCAUUUCUGGCCGGUGGCAAUGGAGUGGCUCAUGUCCACAGUUCCUGCCUCGGGUCAAAGAGGCUCAUGGUCUAUUGCAAUGAGACCACAUUGUGCCCUGUGAGGAUUCCCCACAUACUGUGAGCACUGUGUGUCUGUUGCAGAGUGGUGCUGGGAAAACUCUGUGAGGAGCUUUGCCCACGUACGGAUGUCCCUGAGAAAGGCAAAGUGCCCGUGCCAGCUCGAGGCUGACCAAGGUGCAGUCUUGCCACACCCGCUUGUAACUGAUCAAUUGAUCCAGUGCCACGUGCUAGAUGUGAAACUUUUUCAUUGCACAGAGGAGUUUCAGCCGCUUGGGGAGGUUAUAUACGAGUUCUGUUUGCUCCAGUUCUUUGGAUGUUUGUGCUGAAGUCCCUAACCGCCCUGGAAGACCUGUUAGAAGCAACAGGAGUGUGUGGUUACUGUCCUUGCAAAGAAUUUCAUCAUCCUCCCCGAGGAAAGUGGGAUACAGCCUCAAGCUCAGGGUAUGGAGGGCGUUCUAAGAGUCACCAGCCGGUGAAAUCACUCCUGAUUGCAAGACAGGGAGGGAAUGUUGGAGGAGAAGAACUGGAAAGGCGUCGAUGAAGCAGCUUUUGACAGAGGGUGUGUGGCCCCCCCCAGGACCGGCGAUGGGGAGAGAUGCUGCCGCCUCCCUCUCCUGCUGGGCUCGGGGCUGCCCGGCAUCUCCCUGCUCUCUCUGGUGCUGAGCCUCCUGCUGUACUUUCGGACCUCCGAUCUGCAGUCCCGGGUGUCCCACUUGGAAGCGGACAGACCCACACAGCUCCCUGCCUGGCUCUCAGCAGACCAAAUGGAGACAGCUAUUUUGGGAAGAGUUGACCAACUGCUCAAUGAGAAAUUAAAGUUCCACUUGCCAAGACAUCGAGAAGUUCGAGACACGCACCAGCGAUGCAACUGCCCGGCAGGUAGGGAUCUAGGACAGCUGGCACUUUGGAAGGACCUUUUUUGUCUACAUCUCAUUGAAGGAUUUUUUUAAUGCAGU